GCGGGUGUGGCGAAAUUGGCAGACGCACUGGAUUUAGGUUCCAGCGAGGAAACUCGUGUGGGUUCAAGUCCCUCCACCCGCACCA
This 85-nucleotide transfer RNA is filed under the name Rickettsiales bacterium. RNAcentral's name for it is "tRNA-Leu". It matches the Rfam family "tRNA". From Rfam's summary of the family: Transfer RNA (tRNA) molecules are approximately 80 nucleotides in length. Lineage: Bacteria; Pseudomonadati; Pseudomonadota; Alphaproteobacteria; Rickettsiales. The record is from RNAcentral.